UACGUAGGGAGCGAGCGUUGUCCGGAUUUAUUGGGCGUAAAGCGCGCGUAGGCGGUUCGGUAAGUCGGGUGUGAAAACUCCAAGCUCAACUUGGAGCCUGCAUUCGAAACUGCUGUGACUUGAGUCAGGUAGGGGAACACGGAAUUCCAGGUGUAGCGGUGAAAUGCUUAGAUAUCUGGAGGAACACCAGUGGCGAAGGCGGUGUUCUGGGCCUGUACUGACGCUGAGGCGCGAAAGCGUGGGGAGCGAACAGG
RNAcentral lists this ribosomal RNA (254 nucleotides) under uncultured bacterium. RNAcentral's name for it is "partial 16S ribosomal RNA". It matches the Rfam family "Bacterial small subunit ribosomal RNA", at positions 524 to 776 of the family's 1533-position model. The record is from RNAcentral.